AUUAGUAACAAGAAUUUUGGAAACUAUGGGGUGGGGUUGUAGUUCAGUGGCAGAGCGCUUGCCUAGCAUGCAUGAGGCACUGAGUUUGAUCCUUAGCAUCACAUAAAAAAUAAAUAAAAUAACUGCAUUUUGUCUAUGUAGAACUGCAAAAAAAAAAAAAGAACUUUGGAAAUUAGAAGUGUAUGGAAACUAAAGAUUAUUCUCUUAUACAAUCCGAGGUUCAAUAAAAAUAUUAAAAGGGAAAUUUAAAAUUUACUGAGGAAAAUCACAAUGGAAACAUCACAUGCGCAAAGCUAUGGGAUAUGGCAAGAAGAGUUCUACGAGGGAGGUUUAUGCAUCAAAUAACUAUAUCAAAUGAAGAAAGAUCUUAACAAGUGUUGCACCUAAGGAACAAGAAAAAUAAGAAAUACUGAGCCCAGAAUUAGUAGAGGAAAGGAAAUAAUAAAGAUCAGAGAAAGAAAAGAAAAAAAAAGAAACAAACUAGAAAGAUAAUUGAAGAAUCAAGAAAAGGAAGAGUUUGUUUUUUGAAAAGACAAAAUUGACAAACUUUUAUCUAGAGAAAAACGACUGAGGACUUACUAAAUAUCAGAAAUGAAGGGGACAUUACAACUGACACUACAGACAUGCAAAGCAUAAUGAGAGACAUCAUGAGCCAUUAUGUGCCAAUAGGUUGGACAAAGCAGAAGAUAGGAAUAAAUUCGUUGACAGAAAAAUCAACCAAGAUUGAAGUGUGAAGAGAGAAAAUCUAAAGAGAUCACCAGUGAAUAAGGAAACUGAAUCAGUGAUAAAACAUUUCCCAUUAAAAGAAAGGUCCAAGACCUGAUGGCCUCACUGUGGAAUUCUAUGAACUAUUUAAAAAAGAAUUAAUAUCAAUUUAUCUAAAAUUUUUUCCCCAAAACAUCAAAGAGGAGAGAAUAUUUUAAAAAACUUUUUUAU
Molecule: long non-coding RNA, 936 nt
Filed under: Marmota monax (woodchuck)
Lineage: Eukaryota; Metazoa; Chordata; Mammalia; Rodentia; Sciuridae
Rfam family: tRNA (bases 33-104)
Source: RNAcentral